Molecule: ribosomal RNA, 1455 nt
Filed under: uncultured bacterium
Lineage: Bacteria
Description: 16S ribosomal RNA
Rfam family: Bacterial small subunit ribosomal RNA
Source: RNAcentral
AGAGUUUGAUCCUGGCUCAGGAUGAACGUUGGUAGCAUGCCUAACACAUGCAAGUCGAGCGGAAAGUAGCAAUACUUUUAGCGGCGAACGGGUGAGUAAUACUUAUCUUACCUGCCGUUUAGUGGGGGAUAUCCAAAGGAAGCUUUGGCUAAUACCGCAUAUUCUGGUUUCGACCAGGAAAGGACUUCGGUUCGCUAAAUGAUGGGGAUAAGGCGUAUUAGCUUGUUGGUGGGGUAAUGGCCUACCAAGACAAUGAUGCGUAGCCGGCCUGAGAGGGUGAUCGGCCACAAGGGAACUGAAACACGGUCCCUACUCCUACGGGAGGCAGAAGUGGGGAAUUUAUGGCAAUGGACGAAAGUCUGACCAAGCAAUACUACGUGAAGGAGGAAGGUCUGCGGAUUGUAAACUUCUAUGUGUAUGUAGAGAUACUUACACUGAAAAAGUCACGACUAACUAUGUGCCAGCAGUCGCGGUAAGACAUAGGUGGCGAACGUUAUCCGGAAUUAUUGGGCGUAAAGGGUGCGUAGAUGGUUUGAAAAGUUAGCGGUGGGAAAUCGAGGCUCAACCUCGUGGAAGUCGUUAAUACUAUCAAACUAGAGUGCAGGAGAGGUUAACGGAACUCCCCGUGGAGCGGUGAAAUGCAUAGAUAUGGGGAAGAACACCAAUAAUGGCGAAGGCAGUUAACUAUUCUACUACUGACAUUGAGGCACGAAAGCGUGGGGAGCAAAAAGGAUUAGAUACCCUUGUAGUCCACGCCCUAAACGAUGAGUACUAGAUGUUGGGAACUUGAUUCUCAGUGUCGCUAGUUAACACGGUAAGCACUCCGCCUGGGUAGUACGGUCGCAAGGCUGAAACUCAAAGGAAUUGACGGGGACUCGCACAAGCAGUGGAGCAUGUGGUUUAAUCCGAUACGACGCGUAGAACCUUACCAAGGCUUGACACGUUCGGCAAAACUCGGGAAACCUAGUGGAGGUUAUCCGAACACAGGUGCUGCAUGGCCGUCGUCAGUUCGUGCCGUGAGGUGUAUGGUUAAGUCCUAUAACGAACGCAACCCUUGAACUUAGUUACCAGCAUUCAGUUGGGGACCCUAAGUUGACUGCCCGAGUAAUCGGGAGGAAGGAAAGGAUGACGUCUGGUCGUCAUGGCCCUUAUGUCUUGGGCGACACACGUGCUACAAUGGUUAAGACAAAGCGUUGCCAACCCGCGAGGGGGAGCCAAUCGCAAAAAAUUAACCUCAGUUCGGAUUGGAGGCUGUAACUCGCCUCCAUGAAGUUGGAAUUGCUAGUAAUCGCAAAUCAGCCAUGUUGCGGUGAAUACGUUCUCGAGUCUUGUACACACCGCCCAUCAAAUCACGAAAGUCGGUAAUGCUUGAAACCAACUAACUAACCCGCAAGGAAGGUAGUUGACAAGGGUAGGACUGGCAAUUGGGGUUAAGUCGUAACAAGGUAGCCGUAG